RNAcentral lists this ribosomal RNA (446 nucleotides) under uncultured bacterium. RNAcentral describes it as "partial 16S ribosomal RNA". It matches the Rfam family "Bacterial small subunit ribosomal RNA", at positions 338 to 795 of the family's 1533-position model. The record is from RNAcentral.
CCUACGGGUGGCAGCAGUCGAGAAUCAUUCACAAUGGGGGAAACCCUGAUGGUGCGACGCCGCGUGGGGGAAUGAAGGUCUUCGGAUUGUAAACCCCUGUCAUGUGGGAGCAAAUUAAAAAGAUAGUACCACAAGAGGAAGAGACGGCUAACUCUGAGCCAGCAGCUGCGGUAAUACAGAGGUCUCAAGCGUGGUUCGGAAUCACUAGGCGUAAAGCGAGCGUAGGCUGUUUCGUAAGUCGUGUGUGAUAGGCGCGGGCUCAACCCCCGGGCGGCACAUUAUACGGGGAGACUAGGGGAAUGGAGGGGGAACCGGAAUGCUCGGUGUAGGAGUGAAAUGCGUAGAUAUCGAGAGGAACACUCGUGGCGAAGGCGGGUUCCUGGACAUUAACUGACGCUGAGGCACGAAGGCCAGGGGAGCGAAAGGGAUUAGAUACCCCAGUAGUC